GAUCAUGGCUCAGGAUGAACGCUAGCUACAGGCUUAACACAUGCAAGUCGAGGGGCAUCGGGAAGAAAGCUUGCUUUCUUUGCUGGCGACCGGCGCACGGGUGAGUAACACGUAUCCAACCUGCCCUUUACUCGGGGAUAGGCCUUUCGAAAGAAAGAUUAAUACCCGAUAGCAUAAUGAUUCCGCAUGGUUUCAUUAUUAAAGGAUUCCGGUAAAGGAUGGGGAUGCGUUCCAUUAGGUUGUUGGUGAGGUAACGG
This 257-nucleotide ribosomal RNA is filed under the name uncultured bacterium. RNAcentral describes it as "partial 16S ribosomal RNA". It matches the Rfam family "Bacterial small subunit ribosomal RNA", at positions 15 to 263 of the family's 1533-position model. The record is from RNAcentral.